This 371-nucleotide ribosomal RNA is filed under the name uncultured bacterium. RNAcentral describes it as "bacterial SSU rRNA". It matches the Rfam family "Bacterial small subunit ribosomal RNA", at positions 28 to 399 of the family's 1533-position model. The record is from RNAcentral.
GACGAACGCUGGCGGCGUGCUUAACACAUGCAAGUCGAGCGGUAAGGCCCUUUCGGGGGUACGACGAGCGGCGAACGGGUGAGUAACACGUGGGUGACCUGCCCUCAGCUCUGGGAUAAGCCUGGGAAACUGGGUCUAAUACUGGAUAUGACUCCACGGUGCAUGUCGUGGGGUGGAAAGCCUUGUGCGGCUGAGGAUGGGCCCGCGGCCUAUCAGCUUGUUGGUGGGGUGAUGGCCUACCAAGGCGACGACGGGUAGCCGGCCUGAGAGGGCGACCGGCCACACUGGGACUGAGACACGGCCCAGACUCCUACGGGAGGCAGCAGUGAGGAAUCUUGCGCAAUGGGCGAAAGCCUGGCGCAGCGACGCCG